CAGUAGCCGCGGGAAUACGUAGGGUGCAAGCGUUAAUCGGAAUUACUGGGCGUAAAGCGUGCGCAGGCGGUUCGCUAAGACAGAUGUGAAAUCCCCGGGCUUAACCUGGGAACUGCAUUUGUGACUGGCGGGCUAGAGUAUGGCAGAGGGGGGUGGAAUUCCGCGUGUAGCAGUGAAAUGCGUAGAUAUGCGGAGGAACACCGAUGGCGAAGGCAGCCCCCUGGGCCAACACUGACGCUCAUGCACGAAAGCGUGGGGAGCAAACAGGAUUAGAUACCCGAGUAGUCCCUGUCUCUUAUAU
This 301-nucleotide ribosomal RNA is filed under the name uncultured bacterium. Its description in RNAcentral is "partial 16S ribosomal RNA". It matches the Rfam family "Bacterial small subunit ribosomal RNA", at positions 509 to 809 of the family's 1533-position model. The record is from RNAcentral.